Molecule: ribosomal RNA, 585 nt
Filed under: uncultured bacterium
Lineage: Bacteria
Description: bacterial SSU rRNA
Rfam family: Bacterial small subunit ribosomal RNA
Source: RNAcentral
CCUACGGGAGGCAGCAGUAGGGAAUCUUCCGCAAUGGACGAAAAUCUGACGGAGCAACGCCGCGUGAGUGAUGAAGGCUUUCGGGUCGUAAAACUCUGUUGUUAGGGAAGAACAAGUACGAGAGUAACUGCUUGUACCUUGACGGUACCUAACCAGAAAGCCACGGCUAACUACGUGCCAGCAGCCGCGGUAAUACGUAGGGUGCAAGCGUUAAUCGGAAUUACUGGGCGUAAAGCGUGCGCAGGCGGUUUUGUAAGUCUGACGUGAAAUCCCCGGGCUCAACCUGGGAAUUGCGUUGGAGACUGCAAGGCUGGAGUCUGGCAGAGGGGGGUAGAAUUCCACGUGUAGCAGUGAAAUGCGUAGAGAUGUGGAGGAACACCGAUGGCGAAGGCAGCCCCCUGGGUCAAGACUGACGCUCAUGCACGAAAGCGUGGGGAGCAAACAGGAUUAGAUACCCUGGUAGUCCACGCCCUAAACGAUGUCUACUAGUUGUCGGGUCUUAAUUGACUUGGUAACGCAGCUAACGCGUGAAGUAGACCGCCUGGGGAGUACGGUCGCAAGAUUAAAACUUAAAGGAAUUGACGG